UACGCCGGACGUGCACUGCACGUUAGAUCAAGACACAUCACAAUGCAUGUCAGGGCCCCAUGCACCGCUUUAGGGUCAAUCUUAUCAUUUCUACUGCGUUGUCCACCCCUCAUUCCCGUGGCCUUCCUCUUUGCUCAUUUCGUGUCCACACAACAUGUUCUCAUCUCUUUCUUUCUACCCCUCUCCUUCGCCAUGAGAGAAGAACCACAUAGCUCGGCAUGUGCAUUCCUUUUUUUGGGUCCAUCAGCGGCGGCAUGCUCCUCUCCAUGAGAUUAGCGACGGCGACAAGUGUUGCAACCAACACCCACCGAUGCCGGAGACAACGGAUACAAGUGCGGGAGACCCCGUGGUGGCAUGCAUUCAAGAUGUUGGAGCAAGUACAACAUCGCUUGGUUGGCCACGGAGGAGAUCUCACCGGAGCUCCUGAGCUACGACCACAAUGGCGAGGGCCUGGAAGCGGCGUGCCAGGGGAGCGUGGGGAUUUCCCUUUUUCUAUUGCGACCUAUGCGGGAAGAAGAUGACUCAAGGGAAAGCCAAAUCUAAUAGUUGUACAUGAAGGAAUCAGACAAUUGAGCGGUGCCUGGCCCAAAUUUGGGCCGGUCGACGGGCGCCUACCACUAGCCAAAGAUGAAUGGACAAAGACUAAUUUUUUUGAACCUAAACACUCAUGAUCUUUUUUCACGCAGGGAGGGGGGAGUGACCCCUGGAGUACACAUAGCUCCACCUCUGAGCUUAUCCAUGUAGAGAGUCUCUGAGCUAGAGUCUAUAGGGAUGUGUUUAGAUGCUGGGCUAUCACAGUUUGGGAUAGGGAUAAUCGUACUUUUGCAUGGAUACCUGUCAUUUGGUUGGUGGGCGAGUAGGAAUAAGGAUGGCCGGAUACUCGUAAUAUUCCCGUAAAACGAGGCUCUACUUGUCCGUGAAAAUCUCAUAGAUUUGGGCAUCCUGAGCGCAUGCACGACGCAAAGGCAGGCCGUGAAACGUUUUCUCGGUUUUAUUUUGUUCACCUCUCAAACAAAAGGCCAACCCUAUCUCUUUCCGCUUUCCAUCUCUCUUUUCUCUACCGUGGUGGCUAUAGAUCGAAGCGCGACAAUUGAGAGGUGAGACACGGCGGUAUGGGUCUCUCCUUGCGUUGUUUACUUGUCGUUCCAUCUCUUCUUCCUCUAUCGAUCAUCUAUCGCAUCGGGGUUGCAAUGUUAACCCAGCAUAGGGCAUGGAGGCGGUAGACACAAGUCAAUACCGCGCGCGGCCAUCGGAGCCCUGUGGAUGGAGGCGGUUUCUCUCCGGCAGGGCAUGCGCGAUGUACUCAGCGGGGCGUGGUGUGUGUCGUAUGCGCAUGCAUGAUGUACUCACUAGGUGUGGUGUGUGUGGUCUGUGCAUGCCAUGUUGUGUGUGCGUGGUGUACUGGUGUGUACUACCUCCCCUUGAUUUUUCUCUCCAAAAAUUUGAUCCUUUGUUUGA
Triticum urartu is the source of this 1458-nucleotide non-coding RNA. The record is from RefSeq and is a predicted model, not a curated record. NCBI's taxonomy places the organism in Eukaryota, Viridiplantae, Streptophyta, Magnoliopsida, Poales, Poaceae.